Molecule: ribosomal RNA, 800 nt
Filed under: Halomonas sp.
Lineage: Bacteria; Pseudomonadati; Pseudomonadota; Gammaproteobacteria; Oceanospirillales; Halomonadaceae
Description: bacterial SSU rRNA
Rfam family: Bacterial small subunit ribosomal RNA
Source: RNAcentral
ACACAUGGCAGUCGAGCGGUAACAGGUCCAGCUUGCUGGAUGCUGACGAGCGGCGGACGGGUGAGUAACGCAUAGGAAUCUACCCGGUAGUGGGGGAUAACCUGGGGAAACCCAGGCUAAUACCGCAUACGUCCUACGGGAGAAAGGGGGCUUAGGCUCCCGCUAUUGGAUGAGCCUAUGCCGGAUUAGCUGGUUGGUGAGGUAAUGGCUCACCAAGGCGACGAUCCGUAGCUGGUCUGAGAGGAUGAUCAGCCACAUCGGGACUGAGACACGGCCCGAACUCCUACGGGAGGCAGCAGUGGGGAAUAUUGGACAAUGGGGGCAACCCUGAUCCAGCCAUGCCGCGUGUGUGAAGAAGGCCCUCGGGUUGUAAAGCACUUUCAGCGAGGAAGAACGCCUGUCGGUUAAUACCCGGCAGGAAAGACAUCACUCGCAGAAGAAGCACCGGCUAACUCCGUGCCAGCAGCCGCGGUAAUACGGAGGGUGCAAGCGUUAAUCGGAAUUACUGGGCGUAAAGCGCGCGUAGGUGGCUUGAUAAGCCGGUUGUGAAAGCCCCGGGCUCAACCUGGGAACGGCAUCCGGAACUAUUAGGCUAGAGUGCAGGAGAGGAAGGUAGAAUUCCCGGUGUAGCGGUGAAAUGCGUAGAGAUCGGGAGGAAUACCAGUGGCGAAGGCGGCCUUCUGGACUGACACUGACACUGAGGUGCGAAAGCGUGGGUAGCAAACAGGAUUAGAUACCCUGGUAGUCCACGCCGUAAACGAUGUCGACCAGCCGUUGGGUGCCUAGCGCACUUUGUGGCG